AAAGUCGUAACAAGGUUUCCGUAGGUGAACCUGCGGAAGGAUCAUUAUUGAAUGAAUUUAGAGUUGGUUGUCGCUGGCCCCCCCAAGCAAAAGGGGGCAUGUGCACGCCUUCUCUUUUCAUCCACACACACCUGUGCACUUGUGAGACGGGGGAGGAUUGAAAAAAAGUCCUCCGUCUACUAAUUACACAAACUCAAUUGUACUUGAACUGAAUGUAAUUGAUGUAACACAUCAUUAGAACAAAGUUUCAACAACGGAUCUCUUGGCUCUC
RNAcentral lists this unclassified non-coding RNA (271 nucleotides) under Basidiomycota sp. RNAcentral's name for it is "partial contains small subunit ribosomal RNA, internal transcribed spacer 1, and 5.8S ribosomal RNA". The stretch from base 1 to 47 matches the Rfam family "Eukaryotic small subunit ribosomal RNA", at positions 1785 to 1831 of the family's 1831-position model. Lineage: Eukaryota; Fungi; Basidiomycota. The record is from RNAcentral.